AUCACUAUCCCUUCCCUUUUAAAAUUAUUUCUCCCCCUAAAUCCUUUCGUACUAUAGAGAAACUCUAAAACCUUAAAGAUAGAAACCAAUCUGGCUCACGCCGAUCUAAACUCAAAUCAUGUAAGUACUUAUUAGUCGAACAGACUACAAACUAAAUCUCAUACUCCUUAGCUCCACUUAAUUCAACAUCGAGGUCGCAGACUGCUAUAUAGAUUUGAUCUCACCAUAACAAUUACGCUGUUAUCCCUUAAGUAAUUUUUUCCAUUUAUCAAUAAAUCAUACUAUCUUCCUUAAAAAUUACCAAUCAAAUUGAAGAUAAUCUCUUCAUCUUCCGCCCCAGACAACACCGUCACAUCAUCACUACCUCACUACCAUUACCUCCUAUAACAUAACAGCAUAAAUUUUAAAGGGUCUUCUCGUCCCCUAACCUCACUUUAGCUUUUUCACUAAAAAAUUAAAUUCAAAAAAACAACUAAUACAGCACCAAUCAGUUAAACCCUUCAUUCCAGUUACCAAUUAAAUAACUAAUUACUAUGCUACCUUAGCACGAUUAUAUCAUCGCAACUAUUUACCUAAGCAUUGAGCAGGCCUUACCUUGUAUAAUUCACAAGAAAAUGUAUUUACUAAACAUUCCAACUAAAAUUUUGCCAAAUUCAUUAGUCAUUACUAAAUCAUCAAAUAUAAUACACCCUACUUUUACUAAUUCCAGCAUUAUAUCUGAGAAUAAAAAAUUAUUUCAAACUCCUUGUAAUUAAAAUAAAAUAAAAAUAAAUAAGUAUUAACACACUCCGUGGCUACCCCUAAGCCAAUAUUUACUCUAUAACACAUUACCAAUUUACAACAAAAAAGAGAUUAUCCUCCUUCUACCUUUCAUAACCAGUACCAUAAAUUUGCAAGCAUCUCACCUCUAAAUAACUUUUACAAACUAAUAUCACAACCUUACAAAAAUUAUUUAGCUCAUUUAUGUCCGAGAAUUAAAUAUACAAUCAAAUUUCGCUAAACCCUUAUACAAAAGGUACAAACCUUUAAAUCCUAACAUACUAAUAAAUCUUCAUCAAUACAAUAAACUAUCGUAAAAAAAAAUUUCUAUACUAAUAACCAAACACAUCUCCAAACAAUCACUAAUCUCAACAAUACUAAAAUA
This 1144-nucleotide ribosomal RNA is filed under the name Armillifer agkistrodontis. RNAcentral describes it as "16S ribosomal RNA". The record is from RNAcentral. Lineage: Eukaryota; Metazoa; Arthropoda; Ichthyostraca; Porocephalida; Armilliferidae.